Molecule: ribosomal RNA, 397 nt
Filed under: Protaspa sp.
Lineage: Eukaryota; Cercozoa; Thecofilosea; Cryomonadida; Protaspidae
Description: partial small subunit ribosomal RNA
Rfam family: Eukaryotic small subunit ribosomal RNA
Source: RNAcentral
AUUCCAGCUCCAAGAGCGUAUAUUAAAGUUGUUGCAGUUAAAAAGCUCGUAGUUGGAUUUCUGGUACAAUGCGCCUGGCCCGCGGCAGUAAUGCUUGUGAGUGCCGGUGCGCGUUUGCCAUCCUUCUAGAAAACGUUUCUACCCUUUACUGGGCCGGACUCGCGAUCUAGAUCUUUUACUUUGAAAAAAUUAGAGUGUUCAAAGCAGGCUUUUGCUGUGAAUACAUUAGCAUGGAAUAAUAAUCUAGGACUUCGGUUUUAUUUUGUUGGUUUCUAACACUGAAGUAAUGAUUGAUAGGGAUAGUUGGGGGUGCUAGUAUUGGCCGGCCAGAGGUGAAAUUCUUGGAUUCGGUCAAGACUAACUUAUGCGAAAGCAUUCACCAAGGAUGUCUUCAUUA